GAUGAACGCUGGCGGCGUGCUUAACACAUGCAAGUCGAACGAAGCACUUUUAUGGAUUUCCUUCGGGACUGAUUAUGUGGUGACUGAGUGGCGGAUGGGUGAGUAACGCGUUGGUAACCGGCCUUGUACAGGGGGAAAACAGGCUGAAACGGCAGCUAAUAUCCCAUAAACGCACGGCAUCGCAUGAUGCAGUGGGAAAAACUUCGGUGGUAUAAGAUGUACCCGCGUUGGAUGAGCUAGGUGGAGAGGUAACGGCCCACCAAGGCGACGAUCCAUAGCCGACAUGAGAGGGUGGCCGGACACAUUGGCACUAGGACGCGGCCCAAACUCCUACGGGAGGCAGCCGUGGGGAAUAUUGCCCAAUGGGCGAAAGCCUGAUGCAGCGACGCCUCGUGAGCGCAGAAGUAUUUAGGUAUGUACAGCUCUAUCAGCAGGGACGAUACUGACGGUACCUGACUAAGAAGCACCGGCUAAAUUCGUG
This 481-nucleotide ribosomal RNA is filed under the name uncultured bacterium. RNAcentral describes it as "partial 16S ribosomal RNA". It matches the Rfam family "Bacterial small subunit ribosomal RNA", at positions 28 to 507 of the family's 1533-position model. The record is from RNAcentral.